RNAcentral lists this ribosomal RNA (253 nucleotides) under uncultured bacterium. Its description in RNAcentral is "partial 16S ribosomal RNA". It matches the Rfam family "Bacterial small subunit ribosomal RNA", at positions 524 to 776 of the family's 1533-position model. The record is from RNAcentral.
UACGGGGGGGGCAAGCGUUGCUCGGAAUUACUGGGCGUAAAGGGUGCGUAGGCGGUGCGGUAAGUCUGGUGUGAAAUCUCCAAGCUUAACUUGGAAUCCGCAUCAGGAACUGCCGUGCUCGAGUGUGGGAGAGGAGAGUGGAAUUCCCGGUGUAGCGGUGAAAUGCGUAGAUAUCUGGAGGAACACCUGUGGCGAAGGCGGCUCUCUGGACCACAACUGACGCUGAGGCACGAAAGCCGGGGGAGCAAACAGG